RNAcentral lists this ribosomal RNA (1281 nucleotides) under uncultured prokaryote. RNAcentral describes it as "partial 16S ribosomal RNA". It matches the Rfam family "Bacterial small subunit ribosomal RNA", at positions 78 to 1399 of the family's 1533-position model. The record is from RNAcentral.
CAGCCGAGUAAACUGCAGUGGCGGACGGGUGCGUAACGCGUAAGAACUUACCUUUUGGUGGGGGAUAACAGUGGGAAACUGCUGCUAAUACCCCAUAAUGCUGAGGAGCUAAAGGUGAAAACCACCAAGAGAGAGGCUUGCGUCUGAUUAGCUAGUUGGUGUAGGUAAUGGCUUACCAAGGCCUCGAUCAGUAGCUGGUCUGAGAGGAUGAUCAGCCACACUGGGACUGAGACACGGCCCAGACUCCUACGGGAGGCAGCAGUGAGGAAUUUUCCGCAAUGGGCGAAAGCCUGACGGAGCAAUACCGCGUGAAGGAAGAAGGCCCGUGGGCUGUAAACUUCUUUUCUCAGAGAAGAAGAUCUGACGGUACUUGAUGAAUAAGCCACGGCUAAUUCCGUGCCAGCAGCCGCGGUAAUACGGGAGUGGCAAGCGUUAUCCGGAAUUAUUGGGCGUAAAGCGUCCGCAGGCGGCCCUUCAAGUCUGCUGUUAAAAAGUGGAGCUUAACUCCAUCAUGGCAGUGGGAAACUGUUGGGCUUGAGUGUGGUAGGGGCAGAGGGAAUUCCCGGUGUAGCGGUGAAAUGCGUAGAUAUCGGGAAGAACACCAGUGGCGAAGGCGCUCUGCUGGGCCAUCACUGACGCUCAUGGACGAAAGCCAGGGGAGCGAAAGGGAUUAGAUACCCCUGUAGUCCUGGUCGUAAACGAGGUGUCGGGGGAAUCGACCCCCUCGGUGUCUUAGCCAACGCGUUAAGUGUUCCGCCUGGGGAGUACGCACGCAAGUGUGAAACUCAAAGGAAUUGACGGGGGCCCGCACAAGCGGUGGAGUAUGUGGUUUAAUUCGAUGCAACGCGAAGAACCUUACCAGGGUUUGACAUCCUGCGAACCUCUUGGAAACGAGAGGGUGCCUUCGGGAACGCAGUGACUCAGGUGGUGCAUGGCUGUCGUCAGCUCGUGCCGUGAGGUGUAUAGUUAAGUCUAGCAACGAGCGCAACCCUCGUCUUCAGUUACUCGUUUCGAGAAAACUCUGGAGAGACUGCCGGUGCAAGCCGGAGGAAGGAGAGGAUGACGUCAAGUCAGCAUGCCCCUUACAUCCUGGGCUACACACGUAAUACAAUGGUUGAGACAAUCGGAAGCAAUCUCGUGAGAGUGAGCGAAUCUGCUAAACUCAACCUCAGUUCGGAUUGUAGGCUGCAACUCGCCUACAUGAAGCCGGAAUCGCUAGUAAUCGCCAGUCAGCUAUAUGGCGGUGAAAAAGGUCCCGGGCCUUGUACUCUCCGCCCGUCA